GUUGUGAAAGGACUAAGACCAUGUUUAUCAAAAUUCGGCCUAACGUCCAAAGUGAAUAAUUUUUUGUUAGAAAUAUUCUCUAACAUGUUCUUUUCCUAUAAUGUACUGGUUUUUAUAUGUAGAGUUCGUGAAAGAACACUAUUUUAAGGUUUACAUUACUAGUAUAAAUCCUAUAAUUUGCUCUACUUUUUAAGAUUGCGUCAUACAACGUCGCUAUAUAUUAUUAGAAGUGGUAACGUAUUGUAAAACAUAAUUAUGCAAUGAGUGGUUUAAUAUAUAAUAAGAUCUUGAAAAAGAAAUUUUCUUUCCCAAUAUGCAAUAAGGUUAUUUUACUUAUAGCCCGAAUGGCACACCAUAUUUUUCAAUCCUUCAUUCGGCCUUUUUCACACGCCGCGCCGUUAGCCUGUUUGAGCUGUUCGUGGAAGUUGCAGAGGAUGUACUCAUCGCAUUUCAACGAUGAUAUAAUAUGUACAGCAAAAAUUAAUGGCAAGGUACCAGAUUAUACAGCAGUUAUGUGGAAACAGAUUCCCACAAUAGGGGGACCAGAUUGACACCUACAUUGUACAGUAUCAGGCAGUUAUAUCAGAACUGGAAAAACUGGAUCCAAACAAGACUAUAUUGCUUGGAAGAAACAUGUCGACUCUGAAGUUUAACCCUUAUUAACCCAUGGCACUUCUAUGUCAUUUGAAAUAUACCUGUGGAGGUU
Molecule: long non-coding RNA, 706 nt
Organism: Ostrea edulis (European flat oyster)
Lineage: Eukaryota; Metazoa; Mollusca; Bivalvia; Ostreida; Ostreidae
Exons: 2
Source: RefSeq, a predicted model, not a curated record